This 21-nucleotide unclassified non-coding RNA is filed under the name synthetic construct. The record is from RNAcentral.
GCCUGUUCAGCAGCAUUGGUU